UUCGAUGCAACGCGAAGAACCUUACCUGGUCUUGACAUCCCGGAGACCCUUAGGAAACUAGGGGUGCUUCCAUCUGGAAGAAUCUGGAGACAGGUGCUGCAUGGCUGUCGUCAGCUCGUGUCGUGAGAUGUUGGGUUAAGUCCCGCAACGAGCGCAACCCUUGCCUUUAGUUGCCAGCAGUUCGGCUGGGCACUCUAAAGGGACUGCCGGUGUUAAACCGGAGGAAGGUGGGGAUGACGUCAAGUCCUCAUGGCCUUUAUGACCAGGGCUACACACGUACUACAAUGGCCGAUACAAAGGGCAGCGACACUGCGAGGUGAAGCCAAUCCCGUAAAAUCGGUCUCAGUCCGGAUUGGAGUCCGCAACUCGACUCCAUGAAGUUGGAAUCGCUAGUAAUCGUGGAUCAGCAUGCCACGGUGAAUACGUUCCCGGGCCUU
RNAcentral lists this ribosomal RNA (437 nucleotides) under uncultured Desulfobulbus sp. RNAcentral's name for it is "bacterial SSU rRNA". It matches the Rfam family "Bacterial small subunit ribosomal RNA", at positions 950 to 1382 of the family's 1533-position model. The record is from RNAcentral. Lineage: Bacteria; Pseudomonadati; Thermodesulfobacteriota; Desulfobulbia; Desulfobulbales; Desulfobulbaceae.